This 497-nucleotide ribosomal RNA is filed under the name uncultured bacterium. RNAcentral's name for it is "partial 16S ribosomal RNA". It matches the Rfam family "Bacterial small subunit ribosomal RNA", at positions 28 to 507 of the family's 1533-position model. The record is from RNAcentral.
GAUGAACGCUGGCGGCGUGCCUAAUACAUGCAAGUCGAGCGAACGGACGAGAAGCUUGCUUCUCUGAUGUUAGCGGCGGACGGGUGAGUAACACGUGGAUAACCUACCUAUAAGACUGGGAUAACUUCGGGAAACCGGAGCUAAUACCGGAUAAUAUUUUGAACCGCAUGGUUCAAAAGUGAAAGACGGUUUUGCUGUCACUUAUAGAUGGAUCCGCGCUGCAUUAGCUAGUUGGUAAGGUAACGGCUUACCAAGGCAACGAUGCAUAGCCGACCUGAGAGGGUGAUCGGCCACACUGGAACUGAGACACGGUCCAGACUCCUACGGGAGGCAGCAGUAGGGAAUCUUCCGCAAUGGGCGAAAGCCUGACGGAGCAACGCCGCGUGAGUGAUGAAGGUCUUCGGAUCGUAAAACUCUGUUAUUGGGGAAGAACAUAUGUGUAAGUAACUGUGCACAUCUUGACGGUACCUAAUCAGAAAGCCACGGCUAACUACGUG